Molecule: ribosomal RNA, 301 nt
Filed under: uncultured bacterium
Lineage: Bacteria
Description: partial 16S ribosomal RNA
Rfam family: Bacterial small subunit ribosomal RNA
Source: RNAcentral
CAGUCGCCACGGUAAUACGUAGGGUGCGAGCGUUAAUCGGAAUUACUGGGCGUAAAGCGUGCGCAGGCGGUUAUAUAAGACAGAUGUGAAAUCCCCGGGCUCAACCUGGGACCUGCAUUUGUGACUGUAUAGCUAGAGUACGGUAGAGGGGGAUGGAAUUCCGCGUGUAGCAGUGAAAUGCGUAGAUAUGCGGAGGAACACCGAUGGCGAAGGCAAUCCCCUGGACCUGUACUGACGCUCAUGCACGAAAGCGUGGGGAGCAAACAGGAUUAGAUACCCCUGUAGUCCCUGUCUCUUAUAC